AGGAUAAACGCUGGCGGCGUGCCUUACGCAUGCAAGUCGAACGGGGGGGCUUCGGCCCCUAGUGGCGGACGGGUGAGGAACACGUACGUGACCUACCGCCGAGUGGGGGAUACCCGCCCGAAAGGGCGGCUAAUACCGCAUAGCCUCCCGCGGGGUGCCGGGGGAGGAAAGGCAGCGAUGUCGCUGGGUGAGGGGCGUGCGGCCGAUUAGCUAGCUGGUGGGGUAACGGCCUACCAGGGCGACGAUCGGUAGCUGGG
RNAcentral lists this ribosomal RNA (257 nucleotides) under uncultured bacterium. RNAcentral describes it as "partial small subunit ribosomal RNA". It matches the Rfam family "Bacterial small subunit ribosomal RNA", at positions 26 to 291 of the family's 1533-position model. The record is from RNAcentral.